RNAcentral lists this ribosomal RNA (466 nucleotides) under uncultured bacterium. Its description in RNAcentral is "bacterial SSU rRNA". It matches the Rfam family "Bacterial small subunit ribosomal RNA", at positions 329 to 792 of the family's 1533-position model. The record is from RNAcentral.
AGCCAGACUCCUACGGGAGGCAGCAGUGAGGAAUAUUGGUCAAUGGUCGGGAGACUGAACCAGCCAAGCCGCGUGAGGGAGGAAGGUACAGAGUAUCGUAAACCUCUUUUGUCAGGGAACAAAGACUGGGACGCGUCCCCGGAUGAGUGUACCUGAAGAAAAAGCAUCGGCUAACUCCGUGCCAGCAGCCGCGGUAAUACGGAGGAUGCGAGCGUUAUCCGGAUUUAUUGGGUUUAAAGGGUGCGCAGGCGGUCUGUUAAGUCAGCGGUCAAAGCCCGGGGCUCAACUUCGGAAUUGCCUCUGAUACUGUUCGGCUAGAGAGUAGUUGCGGUAGGCGGAAUGUAUGGUGUAGCGGUGAAGUGCUUAGAGAUCAUACAGAACACCGAUUGCGAAGGCAGCUUACCAAGCUACUUCUGACGUUGAGGCACGAAAGCGUGGGGAGCAAACAGGAUUAGAUACCCGAGUA